AUUGAACGCUGGCGGCAGGCCUAACACAUGCAAGUCGAGCGGAUGAAGGGAGCUUGCUCCUGGAUUCAGCGGCGGACGGGUGAGUAAUGCCUAGGAAUCUGCCUGGUAGUGGGGGAUAACGUCCGGAUACGGGCGCUAAUACCGCAUACGUCCUGAGGGAGCAAGUGGGGGAUCUUCGGACCUCACGCUAUCAGAUGAGCGUAGGUCGGAGUAGCUAGUUGGUGGGGUAAAGGCCUACCAAGGCGACGAUCCGUAACUGGUCUGAGGGGAUGAUCAGUCACACUGGAACUGAGACACGGUCCAGACUCCUACGGGAGGCAGCAGUGGGGAAUAUUGGACAAUGGGCGAAAGCCUGAUCCAGCCAUGCCGCGUGUGUGAAGAAGGUCUUCGGAUUGUAAAGCACUUUAAGUUGGGAGGAAGGGCAGUAAGUUAAUACCUUGCUGUUUUGACGUUACCAACAGAAUAAGCACCGGCUAACUUCGUG
Molecule: ribosomal RNA, 484 nt
Filed under: uncultured bacterium
Lineage: Bacteria
Description: partial 16S ribosomal RNA
Rfam family: Bacterial small subunit ribosomal RNA
Source: RNAcentral